Molecule: long non-coding RNA, 24985 nt
Organism: Apis cerana (Asiatic honeybee)
Lineage: Eukaryota; Metazoa; Arthropoda; Insecta; Hymenoptera; Apidae
Source: RefSeq, a predicted model, not a curated record
UGUGUCAAUAUCGCGUCCGCCGACGUUUGAUCAACGUUUGAUACCGAAGAGAAUAAAUGGUGGAAAUCAGCGACCGUUUGUUGGUCGAGAGAUCUGUCAGUUGAUAUUAUAUGUAUGUAUAUAUAUAUACUGUUUUCGAGAAUUCGAGACGAAUAGAGAUAGAACUGGAUAGAACGCAUCGUUUUUUGUAAAAAAGGAAUCGGAUCGAAUUGGAAGAAUUAUUUAUGUGAAGCAGUGAGAGAAGGAAAGAUUCUGACGAGUUGGAAAGAUAUUUUGGCGAUUUGAACGAGGAGGGUGAAAGGAUAAUAUCGAUUUAAUCAAGUUUGGCCAAAAAAGGGGGGAAUGUAGAGGCAAACGCAAUCCGGCUUAUUAAGGAUGUCAUCGGGGGGGUUGAGGCGAAUAACAAUGGACGUUGUCUCGAUCCUUCUCCUCCGGAACCUCCCCCUGCUCCGGGGAGGCACGAAACGCGAAAGGAAUACCACGACGGGAUUCCAGAGGGAUAUUUAAAUAGCCCCGCCACUCUCGAUCGCGACCCUCGAACUUGGGAAUGUCGGUCAUCUUUGAACGAUCUCGACCUGGCUGCAACGCUCCAUUCUCCGCCCAACGGUUUGCCAACCCUCUCUCGCCACAAUUAUCGAAUGGUAUCCCGACCUCGUCCCUUGAUAUUUCGUGCCCGGUUGUUAUAAAAAUAUCGCGAAAUUUUUCCUCUCUCAUUCUUCUCGAUUAUACAUACAUAUAUAUAUAUAUAUUUUUUGAGAUAAAUAAUUUGAAUCUCUCCUCGAACGAUCGUGAAAAAUCGUUAGUUUCAAAAAAUCUCUCCUCUCUCCGUCGAAUUUGAAAAAACAAAAUCCCUCCACAAAAUUCUCCGACGAAAGUAACUCUCUCGCUCUCCUCCCAAUCUUAAAAGGAAUCCUCGGCGAAGACACAAGAAAAAUGAAAUUAUUCGAACGAAGAGGAAAAACGCAUAAACGUUAUUCUUAAUUAUGCCCAUUAUCUCGUUCUUCCAUCCUUUCGCGAUGGUACAGUUUCUCUAAAAGUUUCUUUAAACGGUCCCUGUCUUCAAACGUAUGGAAAAACUUUUCGCCAUCGAUCGCCAAGCCCCAUCGUAUCGAGGGGACGAGAAAUUCCGAGGAAUUGGAGAGGUCGAUUUCGCACUUUCCGAAAAUGGGAUUGCCAACUCUUUUCAAUGAACUCUAAUAGCGUCUCGGCGAGGAGAGAGAGAGAGAGAGAGGGAGUCCCGGAAUGACGCGCUCACGCUCGCGCGCACGCGAAUUCCUAUUCUCGGCUCGGCAUGAUGCGCGAGUAACACGAGACGCGCGCGUUUAAAUAUAUCCCAUGGGCCGAGCCGCGGAGAGCGUGUGACUCGCUGCCCGAUAGAUUUUCGCUCUCGUGGUGAGCCGGUACGAUUAUGGUUCGACAUGAAACGAGAAUAAACGAGGAAAAUAAUCGAGGAAUUACCGCAUCUCCCGGCCCCUUUAUAGAUAUCGGACGACCAACUCCAAACUCUACGCUGACGGAUCGAACCUCUCUCUCUCUCUCUCUCUCUCGCCAAACUGUAAUACAUCUCCUGGCGAGUGUCACAUAGUCGAAGCAGUGAUGGAUGAUUCAAGGAGAUGUCCUCGAAUCGUGCGUGUGAAACGUGCACGUACGAAUAUUUAACGAUCGACGAAAAAUAUAUAUAUAUAUAUAUAUAUGUACAUUUUACUCUCUCUCUCUUUCGCGCAAGCGAGCGUAAGAACAACGAUAUCCUCGAAGAGGCGUCUGUCCCGAUUGACAGAUGAUUGGAACGGCACAAUACUUGCAUACCUCUCUGUCCGAAAUAUCGGGAACUCUCCACGAGGGGCAGCCGAACGGACGAUCCAAAGAGGUGUCUCCUCCACUGACAGACGCUGUUUGUUUCUCUCUCUCUCUCUCUCUCUUUCAUUCCCCUCUCCGGCGAAAAGAAAAAAGAAAUCGAUGAACGGAUCCACUUGUUCGGGAAACAGAUCAUGAUCAUGAUCAUCACUCACUGAACAGAAUUCCGACACCAGUAAUAAUAAUAAUGAUAAUAAUAGUAAUAGCAAUAGUAAUAAUAAUAACAAUAACAAUCCUCCCGAUCGUCGUGUCGCGCGAUAGUACACUUCUCCUCCGAUCCGCGCCAGAUCCGUCGUUUUGUUCGAUCACUUGCACAACUCUCGCUUGGAGAUUCUUCUCCAAGCUCUCUCGUCUCUUUUUUUCUCUCCUCCUUCUUCUUCUUCUUCUUCUUCUUCUUCUUCUUCGACACUUCACUUCAUCCCGCGAUCCCUCCCAGAAGAAAACGGAGCCGCCGCUUCCUCCUCCUCCUCCUCCUCCUCCUCCGAGCAAGAGCGUAUAUCGCCGGCUCGCGAAUAUUUCUGACGGCUCGCGCAAUCGCCCACGGCUGCCCGUUUUCGAGUAUUUUUAGGAAAAUUAUGCAACGUCUCUCGUUCCAUCGUUUACUCGGUGCCGCGCGUUCGACGUCGCGGCGGCCGCGGCUCACUUAUCGUCUCUCGCGAUUUUCACGAAAAAUCUCUCCUUCCCUCUCUCCCUCCCUUCGCCUCGCAGCAAGGAAAGGGCGCGGGAAGAGAAAGAGAGAGAGAGAGGAGACGGGUCGGUGACGUGUCUCGGUAUCCCGAACUUGAAAACGGAAUAGAAAUAUUUCCCGGACGAUCGACCAAGUUCCCAGUUCCGUUGCACGGUUCCGCGGUGCUCUGCGUGUCCGCUCCUCCGCUCGUUGGACGAUAUUUUGGUCGCGUGGGGGGAGGGAGGGAGGGAGGAGAGGAGGAGGAGGAGAGGAGGAGAGGAGGCUGGUGUCUGAGCUAGGGAAGAGAGAGAGAGAGAAGGCGGGAGAGGGAAUAUCCAUCGGUCGGUCGGCCUAUAUCCGGAGCGAGUCUUCUUCUUCUGUCGCCUCGUCGGCCACGCGGUGUUCAGUGUCCGAUACCUGUCAUUCCGUUUCCCUCGAGAUAACGCGCUCGUCGAUCCUUCUCCCUUCGUUCGCGAGACUCUCCGUUUCUUCCAGAUUCGAGAAGGGUCGUGAAAGGUUUAAUUAAUUCUUCGGUCGGGUAAGAAAAGAAAAGAAAAAAGAAUCGGAAUCGUCUCUUUCGGCUUCCUUCGGAAGGAAGUGUAAAAUAUCGUAAAAAAUAUCGGGAGUAGUACAGUUUGUCGAUUCGAGGAGGUGGAAGAGAGAGAGAGAGAGAGAGGAAGGGAGAGGACACCCCGGUCUGAAAAGUUUCCCCCGCAAUAUUCCAUCCGGGUAGGCAAAUAGACGGCAAGUUCAAUAUCGACUCCUGUGUAGUUUCCCUGUCCGCUCGCUCCCGUUUCACUUUUAUCCGCCUCGAUUCUCCCGAAGAAUGUCGGCUAAUCGGCCGUGUAUAAAACGGUCAACCCCCUUGGCCCCCCUCCCCUUCACGAAUCCUCGCUUCCUUCUUCACUUUUCCUUUCCCGAUCACGAUUUUAUUUCACGCGCGACGAUCGCGAUCACGACGAGUCGAUGAAAAUCAUCCGAGAGAGAGAGAGAGAGAGAGAGGAAAGAGAGCGGAGGAACACGCGAAAAUAAGCGGCUUAAAAUAAAGACGAACUCUCUUUCUCUAGUUCGUGCUAUUUUCCAACUCGUCGUCCGUCACCUUCAACUUUGAGCGGGUCGGAAGAAGCGGAUCUAGAGAGAAGAAGAAUCCUCGACGGGAGAUCGAUGCUCGAUAUCCGAUGGUUGUGUAUUAUAAUUAUUUCAACCGACAUUCGCUAUUUCGAGAUCUCGUCAUCGUCGUCGUCGUCGUCGUCGUCGUCGUCGGCGGCGCGAAUCGAUAAAAUAGACGGAUGAAAUAAAAUUGGCGCACGAGAGGGUGUGCGAGAUUCGAAACGGAGGAAUAAGAGGGGUUGAAUCUUGAGGUGGAAAUCUUUUUCGCUCGAAAAGAAAAAAAAGAGGAAAGUUGGAACGAGAAGAGUUCCGCUUAAAUUAGAUUCAUAUUAGGUGGAAAACAAGGCGGCGUUUUUACUCGACUCGCGCGAGUAAUCUCGUCGAAUAAAUUGGCGAGAGAGUGGACGAGAGGACGAAUCGCGGAUACCGUUCGUCGACGCGCGAGUUCUCGAGAAAAAUGCGAGAGAAAAAUUUCUAUCUUAAGGGUUGGUGCAAAAGAUGGAACGCGGAAAAAUCGAAGAGAAUAGAAUCGUAUCGAGGCGUCGAAUGCGGAGAGUCUUGAAAAUCGAAGAGGAACUGGUCGUUGACGCGGUGGAAAAAAUUGGAGACACGAUAUUUUCCUUUUUUCUUUUUUUCUUUUUUUUUUUUCCACCUUUUUACGUCUCGGCCGGAAUAAUGCCGCGCGACGAAGAAACGGCGCAGACGAGUUAAAGAGGAGAACGAGACGGGAAUUUUCUCUGGCGGAAGUUAAUUCGACGAGAGAAGUCUCCCUCGCGGGCGAGGAUUUUUGCUGUGGGAAACGCACGAAAUAAUAAACGAGCCCUUUCGACGUUCCAGACUAUGCACAAACUCGCGACGAGAGAGGGAUUUUAAACGAGAAACCACCCCUUAACCGCCGCUUUUCCUUCGAAACUGGCCGUGGAAAGUAAUAACAGCCCGAGAAUCUCGGGAUCAACUCGCGUGAAAUUGGCCCGACGACGAGCGUCGCCUCGAUAAAACCACCACGUUCCACUCACUCUCGUUCUUCGCUUCGUUGUCGCGACGACACAACACGAUUCGCGACGCGUGCGAAGAUCCCGUAGCGGCGGAAGCGCGAAGCGGUAACGAUCGUGGAAACCACGACGGCGGCGAGAAAAAGAGGAAGAAGAAGAAGAAGAAGAAGAAGAAGAAAAAGAAGAGGAGGAGGAGGAGGAGGAAGAAGAAGAAGAAGAAGGACAGCGGCGUGAAAAGGGUGGUCCGUGGUGAAUCGACGAGGCAUGGCCGUUACGAGGCCGUGUACACGAGCGUUCCGCGUCUUUUAAAGCCGGUGCACCCUCGAGGGUAGGCUAACGCUUCUUGAACACGCCGCUAUUGUUGGAACGACAAUGGCCGAGGCCGAUACUCAUCCUCGAGUAGCCACAAAGCCUUCGCUCUUGCUGCCAAUCCAGCGUCGACCGCGUUCCCCGAACUGUUCCGCCCUUUUCCCGUGCAAAAAUUCUCAUUUUCGUCCACGAAAAUGACGGCAGCGACGACUCCGUUGUUUCUUGGAACGAGCGCGCCCCUUUAAGACGCCUUCGAAACGCCACCCCCCGUCGGAACAAUGGCACCGUUCGCGCCACGGAAUUACGAGAAAUCGCUACUUUUCGCUUCCCUCUCUCCCUCUCCCUCUCUCUCUCUCUCUUUCUCCCUUUCUCUCUCUCUCUUUCUCUCUUUCUCUUUCUCUUUCUCUCCCUCUCUGCCUCUCUCUCUCUCUCUCUCUCUCUCUCUCUCUCUCUCUCUCUUCUUCGAGCCAUUCGAUUGCACGUCGGCUCUGUGUCGUCCGUUUCUAUUGGCAACCACCCGGACGAACGUCGAUCGCCACGAACCGCUGUCGGCGAGCCACGACCAGUAGUAAAAACGUUUGAUGGGUCCACACGCUGCCAGUCUUCUCUCUUUCUCUCUCUCUCUCUCUCUCUUUCUCUCCCUCUCUCUCUCCCUCUCUCUCUCUCUCUCUUCCUUUCUAUCUCUCUAUCUCUCUACCUCUCUCUCUCUCUCUCUCUCUCUCGCUCACCCGAGAUAUAUAUCUUCGAUCCCGACGUGAUACAACCACAGAGACGAGUACGUGUACGGUACGCGGUGUUACGCGAGUGCCCGUUUCACCUCCUGUCGUGUCCGGCCACGCGCUACGCCGUGACUACUGGGUCCACGGGGCGUCCGCUCCUUUAGCGAGUCCAUCGCGGACAGUUCACGCUGCUACGUCCCUCUGCAGCUGCACUCUGCUGCAGCGCUCCGGAGCGGAGAUAUAGACGUGUAUGAGCCGCGUAUAGGUAUGCGGGAGGCGAACAGAGACGGAGGUAUCGGAUGAAAGGAAGGAGAGAGAGAGAGAGAGAGAGAGAGAGGAAGAGGAAGAGAAAGAGCGUGCGUGUGUGCGAGAGAGAGCGAGGGGGAGAGGGAGAGUAGCGUAGGACGCGCACAGAGAGAGGGUGGACGAGGGGUGCGAGAAGGUGUGGGUAAAGAGAAAGAGAGAGAGAGAAAGAGAGAGCGGACCACGGUCCGACCAGAACGUGAACGUACUACUUGGUGGGCGUCCGGGCCCGCACUGUGCAGCCGACGGCAGCCGUCGCGACGCUUCCCCGCCCGAACACGAGCUGUGCACACGGGGUAGGGGUUGGGACGAGGGUGGGGGAGGCGCCGGCGCCCCACACGCUUGCGCCACCGUACCACGACCCCUUAGACGGAACGCACCAACCCUGUCCUAUCCACCGUGUACACCCACCCAUUCCACGCGCGCACACAACGCACCACGUACACACCGCCGCCGAUCCUCCUCUCCCUCGGAUACGCCACCCACCCCAUCCCCCUCCGUGUGCUCAGGCAAAACCGACCACCACCAUUCCCUCCCUCCCGGUCCUCCCUCCCCCCGGUCCUGCUCUUGUCAGCCAGCCAGCCAGCCAGCCAGCCAGCCAGCCAUCCAGCCAUCCAGCCAGCCUGUCUGCCUGCCUGCUUGCUUGCCUGCCUGCCUGCCUGCCUGUAUGCAUGCCUGCCUGGCCUGCCCGCUUCCCUAACUGUCUGCCUGCCUGCCUGCCUGCCUGCCUGCCUCCUCUCUACCUGCUCGCCUGCCUGCCACCCCUCCACCGUCCACGUCGCACGCCCGUCACUAUGGAAAAUAUGAAUUUGGGUCAGAUACCAGCCGCCGUGCCCUAAUGAACCUUUAAUGUGACCUAUUUCUUUUUUUCCACCCUCGUCCUUCUUUUCUCUCUCCUUCUCUCUCUCUCUCUCUACCUCUCCCCUUCUCUUCGCCUCCUCCUCUUCGUCUUCCCACUUUUCCUGCGUCUUUUCUACCCUGUUCGUGUAUCUCUCUCUCUCUCUCUGUCUCUCUUUUAUUCGUCAUAUUUUUUCCCUCCUCCCUCGUUUCCCAAGUCUCUGUUUCUCUUCACACGAUUCUGCGUGGAUUCCAUCUUGACGCGUGGUCAAGACUCUUCUUCCUCUUUCCGAUCUUCGAUUUUUUUUUCUUUUCCCUCCCCCCUCAAUGCGGGUCGUCGUCACGUGAGUCGCCGCCGCCGCCGCCGCCGCCGUCGUCGUCGUCGUCGUAGAGUUUGUUGGCACCGCCUAACUUACCAGUGUCCAGACGAGUGCCCCCUCCCCCCGAAAUUUCUCCGCGGUUUCACCUUCCUUCCUAACUUUUUGAACAAGUUCACGGUUCUCGAAUUCGUUAAAAAAUCUCGGAAAUUUUAUUUUUCCGAAUAUUAUUAGGAAGGUUUCGGGAUAAGAAGGGAAAUUCCAACCCCCGUUCCCGAUUAAACCAAACCGUUCCUUCGGCUCGGUUUAAUACCGAGGCUCUCGUCUUGGUCUCUCCGCUUGUAAAAAAAAAAAAAAAUCGAUGCUCCGAUGACCGUGGAUGAUCCAUCUCCCGCGCAUCCCUCCCUCCCUUCCUCCCUCCCUCGCUGAAUAAUCGUCGCGUCUCGCGCUGCUCUCUUUUUUCUUUUUUUCCAUCCCUCCCCGCAUCGAACUUUGAUACAGCUUCUUUAACCACGCACGGAACUAGCACGUUUUACGGCCGCUCCCGCUUUAAAGCCUCCCCGUCAACUUUCGAACUUGAUACAGCCUCCCCACCCUCUCCCUCUUUCCUCUCUCGCUCUUUGUUCCCGAAUCGGGUGCUUGUUUUUUAAAGCGCUCCAGGAUUCUCAACCAAGGAUUGUCGUCUCCUUAAAUCACGAAGGGAAUGGAUGAGGGGGAGAGGGGGCUGUUACGAUGUUUCUUAUGACUUAAUUUUACGAUUUUACUCGAGGUGCACGAUCGUUUUUCUUUUAUACGAUUAUAUAUCGUUCGCGCGAGAUUUUUUUUUUUUUGUUUAUUCUCUACUCGGGACUCGUUGCAAAAUUAAAUUCUUUUAAAUAGAUAAUCCUUCCUUCGAAGGGAUGAAUUAAAACGGUUCCUCCGUAAAAUUAGAUCGAAACAAAUUUCUGAAUGUAACGAUCCUUGGACGAAUAAUUUUCAAAUUAAACUCUUCCAAAUAAAUAAUCCUUCCUUCGAAGGGAAUGAUGAAUUAAAGCGGUUCGGUCCUCGGUUUCGUAAAAAACUUAUUCCUGUAACGAUCUUUCGACGAAUAAUUUUCAAGGAACGUAAACGAUUAAUGGAUAGGGGGAGGAAUCGUUCGUUGCCCAAAGUGCUUGCUAUCCAUAAAAAUCUUUCUCUCUCUCUCCCUCUCUUCUCGAUUUACAGUCUCUAGAUUACCAAAUACGAACAGUGAGAACACUUACUAUGUAUCACACCGUUUAUUUCCUUCUUGUACAUAUACAUAUAUAUAUAUACAUAUAUUUCCAGCACAAUUUUUCGCGCAUGGUUAAUUGCGAAAUAUCAGGGCCGCGUUAUCGAUGCUGUCGCCGUGGCCAGAUUAGAAUCGCAUUUUCAACGCGUUCAACUCUCUCUCUCUCUCUCUCUCUCUCUUGGCGCCUUGUAUCAAAUUAAAAUCUGAUGUAAAUUGCAUGUAAUUACGUUGCCGCGCGUGCAUUACACGGCACAAGCAUUCCACGGCACGCCACCCUCGCUUGAAGAGUGGCGCACCCCUGCCCCCUUCUCUUACCCCUGUGGCCACGUGUCGCGGCUGAUGGAGCGAUAAAGAGUUAACAAUCGGAAGAACAGAAACGAUUAAUUAUCACGUUUAGACGAUCCCAAACAUUACGCGCUUACGCGAGUUCUCCAUCUCGAUUUUGGCGAUGCACGCCAAUCGUCGCUGCGAAUAAUAUCAACUUUCCUCGACUUUCCUCCUUCCCCAUCCCUUUCUUCUCUCCCCCUUUUUCCACUCGUGGCUCGAGCAAUAUCGAGUUCCGUUCCCUUUUUCGGGAAAGGAGAGAAGGUGGAUGUCGAUGAAGGGUGAAUGAUCGCGUGAAUUAGGAUUACGAGUUUGAGUCGCAAUAGGUUUGGUGGUAUUUCUUCGAAACAGUACGAGCAUAGGGGAUGUGUUGUAAUUGGGAUGCGCGAAUAGGGAUUACGCGUAUUCGAUUACAGUGGAUUCAGCUGUAUUUUUUUGUUGGAGAAAUUUUUUUCUUUCUUUUUUUCUUUAUUAUUAUUCCAUUUUCCAUUUAUUUUUGAAGUGAGACUGUAAUAUUCAGUUUUUUCUUUUCUUCUCUUUCCUUUCUUUGGAAUAGUAAUUCGGAUAUGUUGUAUAAUAGGUGCGAUUUAAAUUUGUUCGGAUAAAAGUGGGAAAGUACAUAUUGUAACAAGAUUUAAAAUUUCGAAAAUCGAAUUCAGAUUAUCCGUUUUAACAAUAUCUUUCUAAUUUUUGAAAUAUUCGUAUUUAAUAAAUAUUCAUGUUUAGGGAUAUGUAUAUUUUUUAUGUAAUGUCAUUACGCGUAGGAAAUUCCAAUUAGAUUAUCUCGAUGUAAAAUUUCAUCGUUUCAAAUUUAAUACACUUGCCGUGUAUUAUUCCUCGUUACGAAACGUUUCACGUGAAAUUUUCUAAUAACGCAAACAACCUGUACAAUUUGUUGCGGUGACCGCGUUGAUUUUCAGAACACAGAGAACCGACAGAUUUUUCCCCCCUUUCCUUCUUCCUUCCUUUCUUUCUUUCCAGAGGAUAUGCAGUAAAAGUUGAUGGAGAAAAAUGUGUGUCACACGUUUUGCAACCAUAUUUUCCCUCCCAGUUGCAAAAAUGCGCGUGUCAACUUUACCCGUAUUUAUCCUGUUUUUAAUGAAAAUAUACCCUUUUUUUUUUUAGCAUGGAAAUAAAAAAUAAAAAAAGAAAAGGAAAAUUUCAUCCCUUUCGUCCCAAAAUGGGCAAAAAGACGAAACGAGAGCGCGAUUUAAAGAGUGGUUCAACUGUUAAAUUUGUAUUCAAAAUAGUUUUUUUUUUUUUGAUCCGAAUACGAUGAAAACAACAAAAUUUCAAAAUUAAAGGAUUUACAGAUAAUUAUCGCAUCGACCACGAAACGCGUCUGACGUGCAUAGAUAAUUUCACUUUUCGUGCUUCGAGUAUUUCCGUAUUUCUGAAAACAUUUUUCGUUAGUUUUGUCAUUAAUUCAAUCUGCAAAUUAGAAAUUACCUUAAUUUGAGUUAAAUCGAGCUAAAUGGUGGACAAUAUUUUUUAUUUGCGUUCAAUUAUUUAUUUAUGAUCGAAGCACGGAAAGAUAUUACUAUUGCGUAAUUUAAUUUAAAAUUAUACCUCAAUAGUUAUUCAUUACUCGUCUUGUGUAAUUCGUAACGCGCGAAACGUAAUGCAACAUAAGGCGAAAACUAUUCGACGUAUCGUUUCACGCGUCCAAGUAAUUCAAUCGCUGUUGCAGAGUGUGCACGCGAAUGUGCAAUUUACAAAUUUAACGAUUCAAAAUAUGGACGUGAUAUGAUUGAAAGGAAAAUGCGAACGAAUAUGAAUAAACAAAAAAAAAAAAAAAGAGAGAAAGAAAGAAAACACAUCGAUAUAAUAAUGGAUAUUCGAUAAAGCAGAUAUUCAGGAUUAUAUUUCAUUUUUGGGAUGGGGGAGGGGGGAAGCAACAAAGGUUCCAUCCUUUUCAACGAAUUGUUAUAUCCGCGCCAAUUUGCAUUUCAAUGAUUUCACGUUUAUUUCAUAAACCAUUGUUAAAUUCCUGGAUCCGUGUAUUUAUCAAAUGAUCAUCAUUAAAUUAGGUUAUAUCGUAUGAUCAUAUUACGCUGUGUUCCAAGUGUAUGAAAUAGGAGAGGAGGGGAAAGAUUCGAUUCGAAAAAAAGAAUUACCCUUUUUAAGAAGCUUAACUUCGAGGAAUAUAUAUUUUUUUUUUCGAAGAUUACUCUUUCUACCUUUCAACGCGCCGUUAAAAAGGGCGUGGUUGAUCGAAGAGAAAAAAAUAGAAUUACUCCUAAGUUUCUUUUCGAGAAGAUUCUUUUAAUCGAGGAAAAGAAACAAAGGAGUAUAAUAUCCCCUUUAAGUCGCCCCAUCUCCUUCACGCGUAAGAAUUCUUCCAUUCCUCUUCAAUACGCGUCUAAACGCGGUAUCAUCGUAACGUAAUAAAAUUCAGAUUGGCAAUAUUUGGGAUAAAAAUAUUAGCAGUAGGAAUCGUAUCGAGUCGACAAUCGCGGUAUUAUUCCACGAGAUAUCAUCCCGUCUGCGGUUCCCUCUUCUCUCGCGCGGCAGGAGGGGGGAAGGGAGAGGGAGAGGGAUAGCGGUGCGAGCAGUGAAAACUUUGAUCGUUGCCCCGUAGCGCUCAUAACUCAAAUUAUACGUACUCUUCGAAUUCUGCUUGUACGCGGUCGCUCAAGUACGAGUAUCUGAAGUAGUACGUAGAUAUUGAAACACAGAACUCCCAUAACUUUUCAUUAUAUCGCCGCGUUAUCUUCUUAUUAUCUUUUAUUUGCCGGUGAACUCGACUCCGCACUCGACUUACGCCGGUUUAUUCUUGUUCGCGAAAAAUCAUUUCCUUUCGCGGGGGAUAAUAUUUGACCGAAUAAUAUCUCGACGUCGAGUCGCCGAGAUUAGAAGAGACUCGCUCGAGCCCUGCCGUUCGAAUGAUUCGAAAAAAUAUUUCUCGAGGAAAGGAAAAGAAGAAUCGGUUCUACUUUUUGAAUUAUCCUUUUCUUUCUUCUUUCCUUUUUCUUAAUCUUAAUCUAAUCUAAUUUUUAAAAAAUUCACACAAAUGUACACGCGCGAGGAGAAACUGUUAAUUAAUUCCAAAAAUUACGAUCUUCUCGUUUUUUUGAAAUCCCCAAAUAUCCACGCCAAAUAACGAAACGAUACUCGCCAUCCAGUCGCUCUCGAUUCGCCGGAAUUUUCUCGGGGAAACCUGAAUUUAUUCUCGCAUCGGCGACCCGCUGGAAUAUCGAAGCUCGCUCGGGAAGCGACGCCGAGACACUCGUGAUCCGCAUUAACGAGUGCCGAGCUUUCAUUUCGCUCUUAAAGGGACCGUUCGAAUGUGCAAAGGAGGGAAGGAGCGAAAGAGGAGGGGAAUUCGAGCGCGGGAAGAGCGUGGAGAAGAGGGAUACAAAGGAAAGAAAUCGAGGAGAGGAAAGAGAGAGAGAGAGAGAGAGAGAAAGAAGUGGAUCAGUCAUCGAGGUGGAAAGCGAUGCCUGUUAACGAGAGUCCAUAAAUAAUUGAUUCUGAUGGAAACAAAACCGACCAGCGUGCCAGUUUGUCAGCUAUAAUGCCACACUACCUCCUCCUCUCCCCCUCUCCCUCUCUCUGAAACCAGUUUAUAAAAUCCAUCAUCCCACCGCGAUAAAUAUUAAACCUCUCUUUUCGCUUUCGUUUCACCGCUUUGCGGGAAAUUGCUCUGUUCGACGAUCCAUCCUUGGCCCCGGUUAAUGGCCUCGUUAUAGAUUCGUUGUCGUCAAAGAAAGUCCAGGAAGGAAGGAAGGAAGGAAGGAAGGGGAGGGUUACUCGAUCGCAUCCUCCUCCUCCUCCCCCUCCCUCUCUUUGCCAGAAUUUAUCGCGUAAUCGGUGUGUUCACCCGAUCAAAGUUCCUCUCGAUUCGACUCUCGAUUUUCACCCUUUCGUCAGAGGGAUGCUUACCUCUAUUCGAUGAAGAGAGAUCGAUGUGACGUGAGUUUCUUUCUUUUUUUUUUUGGUGAAUAAUAGAGAAAAUACGGGAGGAGGGGACCGUUAGUUAAUUCAGAGGAAAUGUUUGAAUCGUGGAUCAAAGCGUGGAGGUUUGACGUUUAUUGAAUCCUCCCGUACAUUUAUUAUUAUUCUCUCUCGCGGACCUCUUGGUAAUUACGCGGGAUCAUCGUUGUCGUUGCAGUUUACGUCCAUUCAUUUCGUUCGUCCACCGUGUAAAAGCUCCGCGAUUCCGUGGCAUGAAAUAUGCAUCAGUCGCAUUGAUAAUUAUGCGGCUCGAUAACGCGCCCUUUCUCUCCCUCUCUCUUUCUCGUUCGUCGGUGUUAUAAAGGCAGUUCACGAUUGCGCGAUCGUCGAUCGUCUUUUCGAUCGAGUAGAAGAUGAAUUCGCGCUUCUUUGGGGAAUUUUUUGGGAAAAACGAGUCUCACGGAUAUUACGAUUUGGUUAUACAAUUUUUUGGACGGAUUUACAUAAAAUGGGAUUUAAUAAUUCGCUGUUGUCCCAGGAGAACCGUUCGUGCGUAAUUAAUUGCAACUAUUGCCGAAAUAGUUGGGGUUCAUCAUCGGGAAAUUGCUGUUAUUAUCCGCCGUCUCCCUCUCGUACAGGAAUACAUUGAAAUUAUCCAUCCGUGAAUAUCAUUAAAGCAAUUUAUGCUCCUUACCCCUCCUCCUUUUCGCAUUUUCUUUAACUCGCCAAGCUUUUAACGGAGCACAAUGCGGCCACGAGGCAUGGGGAGGGGGGAUUAACAAUGGUCAGCUAGCGGAAUCUUUGGUGUCCUCUUAUCAACGCAAUUAUCCUCAGACGUCAACAACGCUCCUCCUUGUUCAAAUCCUAAUUUCCUUUUGAAAAAAAAAAAAUAACAACAAUCACAACUCGAGCUUACAGUUACACGUACACCCCGAAUUCCUCGAAGGGGCAAAGAGAAAAGUCAAUUUCUCGUUUCUCCUUCGAGCUGCAUUCCUCCUUGACGCGUAAUCCACUCGUGCACGAUAGCGGGAAGCAAAGCGGCGAACAGCGCACUUCUCUGUUUCGAGCACCUUUUAAUGCAGGGACGCGGCCCGGCCGUGAAUCGUUUUUAUCGGCGGAGCCGGCCCACGCCGCCGUAACUUCAAUUCAAUCGACGCGCAUACGGCCACCGUGUGGAUGAUAUACGCAACGGCGGCCACUGGCUGCUCUCCGCGCUUGCAUGCAUGCAUGCAUGCAUGCGGCUGGCACGAAAAGCGCCAUACCUCCGCCUUUAUCGCACCCUUUGUCCCCGACACUGUUCGUUAGCUUAACGGUUUUGUUCGCCCCACUUUGCCCCCCUCCUCCAUAACCAGGCCGCAGCACACCAGGACACGAUUUACUCGCUGGGAAAUGGGAAGACGAAUCACGCUGUUUUCUUCGAAAAAGAGAAGAAGAAAAAAACGCGCGCGCGAAAAAUAUGGACGGGUUGCCAUGCUUUUUCUUCCUCCAUUGUUUUUCUUUCUUUCCUCCCCCUUUCUUUUCACCCCUCCUCUCCUCCUUUUUCAUUUCAGCCUCGGUGUUGUUCCCUCCCCCUGUUCUCUCUCCGCUUUCUUUUUGAUCGUUCUCGAUUCCUUUUUCUUUCUCUUCUUUUUCCUUUCCUCUCCUCGAUUUUUCCCCCUUUCUUCUCCCUUUUCUCUCCUUCCCAGGGAUACCGUACCGCGAGAAACAACACGUGCUGGCGAUAGAUACGGGACCUGUCGUUUCGUAUAUACAACGAGUCUUUCUUUCUUUCCUCUCUCCCUUUCUCCCUCUCCUCCUUUCUUUCGGCGAGCCUACUCUCGCGAGGUUCGGCGACCUCCUUUCCUUUCUUCCGCCUCUUCUUACUACCCCUCUUCGCGCGAAUUGUGUGUUCCCUGCCUCGGACUCCCUUGGAUAUUAUCCUCUGAUGCUAGCAAUUGGACGAGGAAUUUUUUUUCCUUCUUUUUUUUCAUUCUUUCUACGCUCGUUCGAAAAGUUGAAAGCUCGGUGUUCUUUGAUCAACGUAUACUCGCUUCCUCGAAAGGAUUUGCGCCUAGAUUCGAUCCUGCGUCGGAUCGACUCGAAGCAAUUGGAGGUCCGUCAAUUAUUUUCACCGCGAUUGUGUCCCCCUUUCACUAAUCCUGGACUGGACUGCGACGAUUUUGUUCGACUCGAUGUAAUUAACCUAUUGCGCGAUUUGAGUUCAGCACGCAGAAAGUAAUUAGCAAGACGUCCGUUUCGAUUAUCUGGAAGAAAAUCUUUUUUUAAACUGAUCAAAUUGAGGGUGAGUCAACCGGGAUAAACAGAUUCCUGGCCUCGAUCAGAACUUUAAAACGCAAUUUUCCAAAUAUUUUUCCAUACACUUGGAGAUAUACUCUCCUCGCCGGCCGUUUUACGAUCAAAUUGGAUCGUUCGGUUUACAGACAACUGUGGUUAAUCGAACGCCGGUAUUAUUCAACGCGCGUUGGAAACUCGUCGUUUCGAAAUGUUUGAGGUGGCAAUUUGCUUUAAAUUACACGUAAACGUUUGUCCAAAAUUUGGUAAAGCGGAAAAUAAACGGAGAAUAUUUCGUUUAAUUUUCACGACCCUCCCCCUCCCUGUAAACAACCGUAGACAGGGUCUUAAUCGCGUUACAAUCACUCGGGUGUAACCAUCAACGGUUACUAUAAUCACUCAUAAUCGCGACCAGAUAGACGUCGAAAGAAAGAGAUCCAUUCUCCACAAUUCCUGGUGGCGAUAAACCUUUAUCUUUUCCACGCGGCGAUCACGUACACCCAAAGGGAGAAGGAGAACGGAGCCCAUUAAGUCGAGUUAGCGACGCCGGUACACGCCCUGAGGAAUCAGGCGGGGACCUUGUUCCGGCACGUCUGAUAAACGGAAGAACAACGGCUCGUCCGGGUUGCUGGAUGAGCGGGUGGCUGACUGGCGUGAUUAGCUAAGUGAUUGGAAACCCCACCCUCGUUGCUCCCACGUCACGAGAGAAUCUCCACGAGGAUCCUUCGCGAUUCCGCCAAUUUUCUGCAUUGGGUCGUCGCUGGUUUCUUUCCCAAUUUCGAUGCGAGUAAACCACUUUCGCGAGGAGAAAUUCUUUCGAAAUUAUUCCUGCAUAUAUAAUGACCGUUGAACUUGCAUUGUCUCUUUUUCGUGAAUGUGUACUAUAUUCUACGAUACGUGGACUGUUGUUAAUUGGAAACUGACUGCUCUCUUGAAAAAAGAAAAGGGAAAAGAAGACACGGUCUGAGUUGAGAACCACUGACGCGGUCAUAGUUGGCUCUUUCGCAACGUGGCGUGGCGGAUGAGGUAUCGCUAUACUUGGAUGUUGCGCGAGGAAUAUUAGGCAAGUGGAUUAUAUCCGCCCAUAAUUUACUUCGUCGGGAUAAAUGAUCGGAACGAGCUCCCCCCGAGCUCGAAAGAAUUCUUGUUACUUAGCAAGGAUCAAGGAACACGUGUGUGUUACGCGAGGAUCGAUCGCGAUCAUUAGGACGAUUUAUUAUUCUUAUUCUUGCCUCAAGGAGCCAAGGAAAUCGAAAGGAAUUACCGAUAUUGAUUACCAACUGUUUCCUUACAUUUCAGCAACAAAAAUGCAAAAUGGCCCAAAAAUCCAAUUAAAAAUCCAAUUCUUCCCUCUCUCCCUCCCUUAUUAACGAGCUUCCCGUGCAACGGAGUCAGCGUCAAAUCAGCCUUCGAUACGGCUAUUCGAGCAGAGAAAGAGAGGGAGAAAGAAAGAGGAAGAAAGCGGACAAAUCGCGGGGCUCAAGUUGUUCCGCCCGAUUCUCCCUGUACAUCCCCUUUAGAGGGUUACGACCUGGUCACUGUGUAACCCAAUAACGCCCCUCCCUCCACCGAUAAUGUCGCGACGAACAAACUCCACGGAGGGAGAUAGAUAGGCAGGCAUCUCCGUUCUAUCGAAUUCGAGCCCGAUUCGAAACUGCGACGAAGCACGAAUAUCGAAGGCGGAAGGUUCGAAAACGAGACUUCCUUCCUUCCUUCCUUCCUUCCUUCCUCGGUGCGUUUUCACGCGGCCUCGAAGCCUUGCGAAGCCUCCAAUUAGCGGUAGCUCGAGAAAUCGAUGUGCGUGUGAGCUCGGGUGUUCAAUUAUCGGUGGCUCAGAGCCGGGCCCAUCGAUUGUGACCCACCUGGAUGUGUAAUGGAUGUUAUCGCCUUUCUCCCCGUUUUAACAAAACGCGAUCUUGCGUGAGAAGAAUACUCGAAGGGAGGGGAACUAUUUUCCGUGGAUGAAUCGGACGGUAUCCUAUUCCGGUUGCUUAAUUAUUUCCCGACUGUAUUUGCUUCUUUUCCUUUAUCGCUGCUCCUACGCAGGCAUCCCUUAUGCGGGCAAAUUAAUCGGAAUAGCUGCUUCUUUCCAUUCGCCCUUGUUUUCUGAAUAUUCCACUUCGAUUCGAUUCGAUAUAUAUAUAUAUACAUGUUUGAAGUUUUGUUUAUCGGGUGUAAAAUUUCCACUCUUCCUCUGCGAUUUAUCGAGAGAUUAUCUCCGAUUUGUCACGGUGCAACGAAUAUAUCGCGCGCGAUAUUUUAUUACGAGGAUGGCUGAUCGUCUGAUUAUAUCGUUCACCGAUAUUUUGUGUGUGUAUUUUAAAACACACAAAAUUUUAAAAGAAUUUCUUCCAACUUAUAUAUUAAUACUCGAUGACCUCUCGUUUACAAUAAAUUUUAAUUGGCGCAGCCUCGAAAGGAAGAUACUCAAGAACGUUUAAUAAUUUAGAAAAAGAGGAUUCAAGGAUUAAGAAAAAGAAAGAAGAGAUCUGUAAACGCACGAUACACAACGCGGGUAUUUUCUUUGUUCCGGGGAGGCGGAAGGGAGGGGGAAGUGAUCGAGGAAGGGGCGGGGAUUUUGGUUGCAGGCGCCGUCGGUUCGGGGGUCGAAAGAUACGGUUAAUAAAGCUGACUGCCACUCUCGCCGCUGCCCUCUAAUAUCAACGCAAAUGCGACUGUUUUGUAUGCUAAUUGACUCAUAUACAUAGGCACGUCCGCCCUACAUUGCCGCGCCGCUAAAUAGAUAUAGGAGGACUCGAUGCAUGCGACUCGGCCGGCCACCGGAAUAGGACAUGCCCGUGGAAUGAAACCCAUUUGCGUCGAGCACCGACGAGCUUGUAACUUUGCGUCACUCUCUUUUCCAUGUUUCGUUGACAGCCUUCGGACACGUGCAUGCAUGCAUGCAUGCAUGCAUGCGGUGGCCACUGUGGUGAUUCGCUUUGCUUGGAGAGGGAGGAUACGUUGCUUUUGGAUCUCUCCCUUUUUUUUCGUUUCAGCGAUUUAUCCUUGUAUAUCGAGUAGAGAAGAAGGGGCUUGCUUCGAAUCUCGGUUAAUUGGAGAUUUUUUUCAUCGCGGAGGAAAAGUUUCGAUUUGUCUGGUUUGUAACGAUAAGUUGAUUGGAUGAGUAUGGAAAAGGGGGAAGUUGAAUGUAGGAUUUGACGCAAGGUAGGAAGGGAAUCUCUCAACGGCUACGGGUUUUUUAAGAAUGUUAUUAAUCGAACGAUAAAUCCGAGAGUGGAAGCUGCGAGAUAAUCAGUGGCACUAUCUGGCGAACGCGAGUGUAACUCCAAGUCGCGAACCGUGUCCGGGGAAACUCGAUGCGACCACUGUCGGAUUAUUCCACGUUUUACUCCUUAAAUCUUGCAAUAAUUCAUCCUCCCCGAGAUACCAGGGCGGUGUUACGCGAUUUAGAUUUCCUUUGAAUUGACGUUUCGAAAGGAAUAAUUUUUAAUACGUAAAACUCUUUCUUUUAUUAAAAUAUAUAUAUUCGUUGGACGAAAUUUAUAGAAAUUAUACAAAGAUGUAAAUAAUAUUUUACACGUAAAAUUGGAUUUAAUCCUUCGCUCGGCCCAGUCAGUUUCUCUCUCCCAAUUUGCCCAAAGGAUUCAACGAUUGUACAUCGGUGGAGGUAAUUCUGUUACUCUCUCGUUUUUCGCAAUUAUCAAAAUUCACCGAUCGAAAUUAUGCCGAUAAAUUGUGCAACCCGUUUGUGCAGCUGCUUCCGAAUAUAUAUAUAUAUGUACGUACAACGUGUCUGCAUUACGACAACAGAACCGGUUUCCGUUUUGAAAACCGAAUCAACGCGUUAAUGCGCUCCCCGUGUUAUUACACGUAACAAUGCCGCAAAUAAUUAUUAAGAGGAUUGGUGGCCGCGAAAAAUAACCAACCAAUUCCCCCGCCUUCUCUCUCGAUUUUUUGUUUUUCAACAGAAACACCAAAGAAACGAUAGUUUCGUUUUGAAAAUAAAUAAGAUUUCAACAAAAAUUUAAGAAUCUCGAAAUAGCCAUUUCUUUUCCAAAUUUAAAAAAAUAUUUCCUCCAACCAAUAAUAACACAAAAUCGAAUAAAUUACGAGUGAAGCUAUCUCCACAAUUAUUGCUCAAAACGUAAUAAUAAUCAAGAAAUAAUCGCAGCUUGCUCUACACGAACGAAUAUUAUUCCAGCCUCUAACUGAGUGAUGGACAAAAUUGAACAAAUAGUUGAAGUUACCUACCUCCACAAUUUCGAGCAUUUUAACGAGCAAUCACUCGAGAUAACUUCAUUUUUAAAAUGAACCAACUUCCUUUCCCCCAAGUUCUCUGCCUCCGCUUCAUUAAUACGAAUAUAACACGUUAACAGCAGCCCUGAGGAGGAAAGGAAAGCGAAAGGAAACGAGUGUUGGCGUGGAAAUAACGUUAAUCGCGGAUCUCGUCGCGUUCGGGUCAACUGAACGGCGUGUUGCGGGCCGUCAGCUUUAAGGCGCGCGGAUGAGGCCGCCCUAUUGGCGCAAACAAUGCGCCGCACGGAGUAUUUAUUGCGGCGGCUAAUACCGGUUUAUUGGGAUGUAAAAUGAGGCGAGUCCCCCGCUUGCUGACACGCUCGCUUUCCUCGAGUCGUUCCCAACGCAUAAUGGAACGCGCUUUGCCGCUCGUUAUGAAUAAAGGAGCAGAGCCCGAUCGUUAACCCACGUUUGUUACAUUGCACGUUGUUUAACAUUGCACGCGAUUUCAAAGCUGUCAUCGUCUAUGCUGAUUCUGGGCCGAGUUUCCAGACGGUGGACGACCGUUGCGUGAAGAUUCGGGGGUUAAUUAAUUGGAAUGGGGCUCGAGGAGUCGUGAUGGAUGGAUGGAUGGACGAUAGACGAACUUUGAUGAAUUGUAUCGCACAACUGAAAUUAAAAGAAUUAAUAGGUAUAUAGAAAAUAUAUCAGUUGCACUUUUAUGAUUGGAAUAAUUGGACAAACGUUUCGAAAUAAUAUUGCAUAUCUGAAAUAGUACGGAUUCUGGAAUUGUGAAUUAAUUGUUAAUCUAUUUGAGAUUUAAAGGCAAAAUUUUUAAGGAUUUGAAAGUAUUUUAUGUAUUUUGAAUUUUAUAUCGUUGUAGGCUUUUCUUAAAAAGUAGUAAAGCUCACUUGUUUUCUGAUAUAUCUGCAAUGCAAUCUUUAGAAAUUGCUUUAGAAAUUGUCUAAUUAAUAAAUGUAGUGUCGAUAUGUUAUAUAAAUCUCAUGUUUUUUGAUAUAUGUAUAUUACAUUUCGUACAAGCAAAAAGAGGUUCGUUGUUGGAAAUUUCGUCGAAAUAAAAUAAAAGAGUGAGGGAGAGGGAAUAUUUUUAUAGUUUUGAAGAAAAAUUGAUCGAAAGGAUAGGAAAGAAUCGAAUUGUUCUAACUUUUGUUACUUUCCAGUGGAACAGAACAGGGAAUUAAUUGGAAAUGGAAUAGAAAUUCAAAAGUGGAGUGGCUCGCGAAAACUUUAAACCUUCCUUUCCUUUAAUACUCAUCAUAUUCUUCACCCUGUAAAUUUCUUGGCCAAUUAAGAGACGUGCCGUGCGCCGCGAUAUUUAUCUACGUAAAAAAGAAAAUUGGAGGAAUCCUUUCCGACUGGAAAACCCAAUUUUACGCGGCACCACGAGUAUCAAUUCGAGCUUCCCCUAAAUCGCGAAAACAAAAAGCAGGGGAAAAAGGUUUCGAUUCAGGAACCCGGUAACUGCGCGAUCAGCCAGAUUUGUUCGUUCGUUCGCAAAAAAAAAGGGAGAAAAAGAGGAGAAAAAAGAAACGAAGGGAGAGAGAGAGAGGGAGGAAAAGGUUAGAAGCAGAGAAUUCACCUGUUAUCGUCGCGGCCAGGUUGCUCAGCACUUCCGUUUGUUUUCAGAGCCGUUUUCCGAGUCAUCUGGCCGGCUUGUUUGACCGAUUUAAUCCGAGAGAUCGGGCCGGUAACUACGUUAGUUUUAACGAGCCACCAUAAAGGACGAUCGAAAUUUAUAGAAUGGACGGUAAUGGCCGUCCACUUUCCAACUGCAAUCUGGCCACGGAUCAGAAUUCACUCGAUUCAUUUGAAUUUCCACGCUGUGUCACGAAUAGAAUCCAAAACCAGGCUUCGAAUGGAAUAUUAAUAACCUCGAAUCGACGAAACACACACCGGGUAUAUCUGUGUAUUUUAUUUUUAUCCUCUUUUCUUUUCUUUUCUUUUUUUUUUUAAUCUUGUGGAGGAAUCAAUUUCUCGCUCGAGAUCGAUUUCGUCUUAUUCUCGUAAAUAAUUACCGUAAAUACGUUCGUCAUUCAAGGUUUAUUUAUCGUGAAAAUUCGCGUGGAAAAAUUUCAAAUAUAAACCGUUAAUUCGCAGCUGGCUCUCACCUUUGUCGUAAAUUUAAAAUUUUAUCGCGUGGUCAUCUUUUUAAGAAGAGGAAAUUAAUCCUUUAAGAAUAAUCCGAAAUUAAGGAAUUUGGAAUUUAAAUUUAAGGAAAUUAUCCAACGAAUAAUCCUCUCAACAACAAAUUUCAAAGCCCCGCCAUUAACGGUAAACCUAACACGUGAGGUGUGUCUGUGAUGUGUAAAGCAAAAGGUGCGAUUAAUCAUUUUCAAAAGGAGAAAAUUCAUCGAUUAAAAGUGAAAAUCCGCGCGUGACGAGUCGCGCAAGAUUUUUCCAACAAACUCCAGCGCGGCAGUAUCGUCUGACCAAGCACGGUUGUUACCACUGGGGCGAGCCUCUCCUCUUCACCGAUAAAAAAAUACUCCAUAAAGCGUGGAGGGUCGUAACUGCGAUUCGACCGGCCGGAUAUAGUCGUCACGACACGCCUCCGCGCAAAAGUCGUCUCGAUACGAUACGAUAUUCGUUAUGCGUUUCCUUCUGUGACUCGAUAUCGGGUCACGCCGAUAUAAACGACGAGUUUAUAUUCCGCGUAUUAUCGCCACGGGCUCGUUACCGAGCCGAUCGAGGGACGAGGGACGUUCUUUUACGAUUUCGGGGGAAGAGGGAGGAAAAAAGAAAGGAAGGAAGGAAGAAGAACGAUUAACGAUUCGAUUCGAGCGACCGAGUUACCAAAUAGGGUGCACGGACGACGUGUGAAUCGAGUUGCGCGAUGAUAAAAAUGGACGUUUUGACGUUGUGAAAAUAUCCGUGGAGGUUUGAUGUUUCAUUUUGCUCCCACUUUUUUUUUUUUUUUAUUUUCGCUCUCAUUCAAUCGCGAUAGAAAUUAGAGGAAAAGUGUUUUUCUACUGAUCCUUUUUUUUGUUUGUUUUUCGGAGUGUUGAUCUCUUAAUGCUUGAAUUUUUUUUUUAAAUGGUAAAAGUAUGCGCAUGCGAUAAAAAAUUACGAGUGAAACUGAAUUCCUUGGUAUUUUUCUUCCGUCGCACAUUAUAGAAUUAUAAUUACGAAAAUGUGGAAACUUUAAAAAUGGUCGUCCCUCGAGUGGCAACUGUGGAACUUGGUAAUUAUGAGAAUUAUCACGGAUACAGGCCCAAAACUUUUUCCCAAUUACGUUUCUAAUUACGAUAGAGAAUUUCGAGCCGAGGAAAUUGCUGGCGAAAUUUCUAUAAUUAUUUAAAGCGUUAAAAUAUAUACGUCGAGGAAUUUAAUUUCGAGAGAAUUAUUCCCUCGUUACGUUCACCAUUGAAUCGCAAAAUUAUUCUUCUCAUAAGUUAUGCAAAUCAUUCCCAUUUACUUCUUUGUCCAAACCUUCAACAUUUCGACCGUUGAAGAGUCUUAUUAUUCAAACAACGGUUAUGAAUGAAUGAAUUUCGUGAAAAUUCCAGAGUUGAUUUACCAGCAAAUUGUCACCAAAAAUUCGAUCCAUAUGAUAUAAUAAAAUCUGUUCUCUCAUUUAUUCAAAACCCCGUUCAACGGCGGACUGAAUGAACGAGGAAAUAAUGUACGAGAUUCGAGUAGAAAUUCAAUUGUUUUGAUUCAAUCUGAAGAAUCAGCGGAUACAAUUUUUCGAGCAAAUUGGAUCUCACAAUUCUCUACACGCUGCCCAACGAUAAGACAAAAAUCUCAAAACCGAUUUCUAAAAAUUUCGCAUUCCUAAAAAUUCUGAAUCUGUCAACUUGCGAAGAAAUCUCGUGUACAAUUUUAGAACAGAAGAACAUGCAUGUUUUUUCAACUCCCACAAAAGUUCACCUCGAUCGAAACCAACGAAAAAUCGAAAAAUCAUUCAAAUAGGAUAAAACGAUAAUAAGCAAUCGCAAACUCGAUUCUUCUUCUUCUUCUUCUUCUUCUUCCAACGCUCGAAACGAAUAAUCCUUCAAACGCCGCCAAAUAUUCGAUCGGAAAACUCUUCCUCUCGUUCAAAAAAAAGAAAAAAAAAAAAAAACGUUCAAAUCUGCCAAGCCUACAACGGUCGGCGAACGCUCGACGCCCGGCACGCAAUUUACGCGUACCCGUCGGCGGAUGGCGUGGCACUGUUAUCAAGCCAAGGGCUCCUCGCCACGAACCCCCAGCCGACGCCUAAGUCGAUGAGCGCAUGCGCGUGCCACGGUCCCGGAACGAUGAAAAACACUAGCGGGUUCGUGUCUGUGAACGGGCGCGAGCCGUGGACGGCUCUUGGUGUAUGGCGCACUGCCACCUCUACGUCGACGCCGGCAGCACGGUCGGUAACCAGAUUGGGCUCCUCUUCUCUUCGACAAUCAAAAACAGGGCCGGGGACGAGGCGUUGUUUAUAGCGGGCGGAAAGGUCGAGCUCCUGGUUUCCACCCGGCUUCUAGGCUUAGUUUAGAAUGUUCAGUGGUGUGACCUCGGCCGUACAGACGACUCGUCCACUUGAUUUUUGGGUUCGUGUCCGAGGAUUAUCGAUCGGAUACCCGCCGAUUCACUAAGACAAAAAAGAAACGAAACUUUUUGAUGUAAUUUCAACGCUUCGGAAGAUUCGUCAAAAUUUUGCUAAUUUUUCGCAUUUGAAAAAUCGCAUUGAGGAGAUUUUUUUUUUUCCAUCCCACGUCGAGGGUUAAUAAUAUUCUCGAUGGCACGAAAGGAAUAUUUCUCUCUUUCAAAAAGCGAUCGUAAAAGGAGGGGGAGGGGGAGGGCAAGAAAAAGAAGAAGAAGAGGAAAAAAAGAAACCUCUAGGUCCCCCGAGCAGAAAGCAAACGUAAUCUACCGAUGUCUGUCGAAUACAAAGUAGCGUUGAACAUAAUACUUAGAAUGCAAUCUAUCGUGCUACAUACAUAUAAAUCGCUGUGAUCACUGAGUCGUUGAAAUUCGUAACGAUCCUCCUUCUUUCCUCUCUUCUCCUCCUCCUCCUCCUCCUCCAUUUUCCGCCGCUUCGUCCUCGUUUCCCCGUCCAUUCCACUUUUUGCCCCCUCCCCUUCCCUCCCCCGAAACUGUAUUCCUGUCACGAAUGUGGAACGAAAUAGAAUUGUUGAAGCAACGAUAAGAUGAAUGGAAAGGAGAGAGAGAGAGAGAGAGAGAUAAAAAAGAAGGGACGAAAACGAGGACAGGUAUCUCUUUUAUCAGUCUGAAUUAACAGUCGGAUGAAUUGAAUUACGUGAAAUUUUAUUAUAUUCUCGCAGGAAAUUUUGUCGAGAAAAAUUUCUUUAAAAAUAAAAUCUCUCCUCUUUAUGAACGAUAAUGGAACGCCAUGAGGGGGAUUAUCGGCUUCGAGGAGAAAUAUAUUUUUAAUUUCGUUGGAUCGAAUGGAAGAAAAAAGAAAGAGAGAAAAGGAGGAGGAGGAGGAAGAAGAAAACGAGUAUAUCUUUGUUCGGUGGGAAUAUGGAGGCCAUUAUAAAAAUUUACAACCGUGCGUGUUUCCGUUUGUAUCUCAAUUUCGCUUCGUUUUUUCCAACACGGUCCAUUUACCGUGCCCAUUCCCGGCAAAUAAAAUACAAAUAAACUACUUGGAAGCUGGAUGGAAAGACGUCUGUGCAAGAAGAUAGAAACAAGCACAAAUUGAAUAACAUCAAAGGAGGGGAAGAGGUGAAGAAGAAGAAUAAGAAGAAGAAGAAGAAGAAGACAACGAAGAAGAAAAAGAAGAAGAAGAAGAAGAAGAAGAAGAAAAGACAAGGAUGCUCUCAUAACUCUUUCUAAGCGCGAAACACGUCCCGGAUGGAAAAUUAUCUUUCAUCUUUCGACGAGAAGAAUAAGUUUUGUGUAAAAGUGAUGAAAUAAAAAUGUAAAUAAAUGUAAAUAAAAAUGUAAUAAAUAUAAUGAAUAAAAUGAAACUAGUUUGAAAAAAA